Molecule: long non-coding RNA, 2809 nt
Filed under: Neogobius melanostomus (round goby)
Lineage: Eukaryota; Metazoa; Chordata; Actinopteri; Gobiiformes; Gobiidae
Description: lncRNA (ENSNMLG00000001542.1)
Source: RNAcentral
AGUUUUUAAUGGAAGCCUAUUUAUUUUUUUUUAGAAUUAUUAUUUUAUUAUUUUUUCAGAAAAGGUAAACAGAACCGAAGAUCGCUUACGUUUCCACACGGACCCGUUUUAGUGACGUACCCAUCUGCCGUCAGCUUCUGUAAGUUUGGUGACUUGUUUUAAUCGUGUUCUGUUCAUUUACCUGCUUCCUAAACAUAGGUGAACUCUUCUAAUGUCUACCAUAGAGACUUGCUGUAAGCUGUACGUGAGUAUAUUUUUGCUGGGAUACAUUAUGAGCUACUUAAGUUUUUGUUAGACAUGAUUUUAUUUAGUAUUUUAAUAAUGCAAGUAAUUAUUCAGUGCUGAACCUCUAAAUGAGGAUCUAAACUGAUUAAAUCAGGACUAAAGCAUGUCUAACAAAGAUUAAACCAAGAACCUGAAUACAUCUUUACCAAGGACCAAAAGCAUUUGAUGCAGGAGUAGAACUUUUUUCAUCUGCUGUAAACAUAUUAUUAGUAAUGAGUCAUUCAUUCCUUUCUUUGUGCAACGACAGACAGACGUCUUUUCUGAAUGGAGAAGAUGGAGGAUUAUCCACUCUACUGCAUCAAAUGAUUCCAGCAUUACUGAUCUGCACCCUGGAAUAUCCUGGAAUAAUCACUUGUGCAGUUUUGAUGACAUCUCUUGAAGUGUUAUGACCAUUGUUUUUCACAGAUCAAGACAUUUACAGAAGAUCGGGGACUGACAUCCUGCUGUGCGUUCUGUCAGAAUAUGAAACGUAUGUUAUUAUCUUCACAUGGUCUAUAAUUCAGAGUUGUUGUUCAUCUGCAUGUUUUGAGCCAGAACUUAAUAGUAGAAACAACUGGUCAUCUUGGUUUUUCCAUAUGCAAAACUUCAGCAGAUGCAGGGAAAGAAAGUCUGCACAACUGCAUAAUUAGCUUCCAAAUUUUAAUGUUUACUCACACCAAAAACGUGACGCCUUUCAUCAAGACAAGGCAUGUGCAAGUUUUGUUUUGUGCUACAUAUGCACAUUUAUAACCUUAAAUUAUAUCUAAAAAUCUAAUCAAACAAAGGCAAAAGCAGCUACCUGAGUAGUAAUUGUCAAACAGCAAAGAAAAGUGUGCCAUCAAAAUGUGCACAUUUACAGAAUGUCUUGUGUUUAAACUGAAUAAAUAAGAUUUCUUUCUUCUCCAGCUUCUACCGACAAAAAGACUACCAGAAAUGAAGAGUAUGCAUCUUUAUAAACACAAGCCAUAAGGGACUUCUGAACAGCUCUUUGUCUGAUCCGUCAACCAGAACCUGUUUGCUAUUGGAGACCCUACCAGGGGCACGAAGCCCCGACAACAGAGCUCCAGGAUCAUUCAGGUUCUCAAAGCCCUCCCUCCAGGAGGGCGGCCCCUUAUGAGAGACCAACAGGCCCGGUUAGAAUUGUGAGACCGUCCUUCUAUUGGACCCACCACCUGUAGGAGGAGCCAUGUGACUUGGGCAGUUCGGACGGUUCCCCACGACCCAGCAACGGACAAGUGGAAGAAGUUGGAUGGAUGGAUAAACAUAAGCCACAGCUGGAAAUAUGAUUUUACUUGUUUUUGGGAACAAGAAGGACAGCAUCAACUAAGAGAGACUGAACUUACUGACUAAAGACUCCAUUCCAUUCUGCACCACUUGUUCAAAUAAAACUCUCGAUUCUAAAAAGCUGACACAUAGGUUUCAGGAAAUUGCACACAUUUCAUGCUUUAUUGUUACAUCACCCAGCCCUAGCAGGGACUGAUUUGUAGUGAAGGAGUUUGAGCUUUGAAAUGACCAGAAUAGGUUUGAUAUAUGCGCAUGCACUUUAAAACAUAAAAAAAGCACUACAUGGCAUCAGCAUUUCGGAGGCAAGUGUUAUAGGCAUUUGAAAGGGAUGGAAUGCAUGAUAACCACAUUAUAUACAGUAUUAUAACAUGGUUAUUAUAAAUGCUAUUUUAAAAUGCUGUGAGCCUUUUUAGCGUGUAGGACAUUUAACCUACUCCUGGUCAGUGUUUUCCGACAUAAUGUUUUGGUUCAGUCUUGCAGGCACUGGUAUAGACUAAGACUUUCUUGUUUCCAACCUGUUUGUUUUCUUCUGGCUUUGAUGGCUUCUGGCUGUACAUUUCAACAAUUACGGUCUUAUGCUACUGCUAUUAAUUCUACUCAUCAGGAUUGCUCCCAUGUAUGUUCCCUGGUUGGUUUAUGGAAGUUAGUUACUGUAUGUGUACAACACAGUUUUAUGCUUGGUAAUGUUUAACGUUAUUUUUUUUUUUUACAUCUUUACAGUUUUACAUUGUUCUUUGGUCUUUGGGGUGUUCUGUUAUGUCUUUACCAGGACAUAGUAUACAACAUUUCUUGAAUAACAACCAGAUAUUAAAAUAUGUAGAGAAUUUUGAUAGAAUUUUGAGUGACAGGAUUCAUGAUCUCAUGGUGCAACACUAAGAAUCUCCAUAAUUACAUUAUUAUUUUAAUAGUCACUGAUCGCUAGAAAAUCAUGCAGGCUUAUUACGCUAUGUCACGUGAAAUAUAUGUGUUAAUAUGUAAAAGUAAAACAACUUGUAAUAUUCAUCCAGCAUAAAGGGUAAGAACUUAAUAAAACAUUUUGCAUGUGGCCAGAAUCUUCUUGAUAAGGGUAAUUACACUUACUUUAUGUGAUCCAAAACAGUAUUUGUAUACUUUAUCAUAUAGUUAGGGUGUGUGUGUGUGUGUGUGUGUGUGUGUGUGUGUGUGUGUGUGUGUGUUUUCUUUUUUAUCAAUUAGCUAUUGGCCCUGGCCACUUUUUCAGGAAUAAAAUAACAUGUUUGGCUAAAAUACAGUACAAAUUUCU